Danio rerio (zebrafish) is the source of this 112-nucleotide non-coding RNA. Lineage: Eukaryota; Metazoa; Chordata; Actinopteri; Cypriniformes; Danionidae. The record is from Rfam.
UUCAGAAUGGCCGAGUGGUCUAAGGCGCCAGACUCAAGGUGUUUCAACUUUCUCAGGUAAUGAGAAUUCUGGUCUCUAGCUAGAGGAGUGGGUUUAAAUCCCACUUCUUACA